GCCGGGCAAGAUGGGUUUGACAUUGUUGAAAUCAAAAUGGAGCCAUAGAGAGAAAAUCAACAGCUGAAAUCGAGGUAGAGGAGCAUGAACUGAAAUGGGCCUUCGUUGAAAACCAAAGAGAGGUGAGCUGAUGGAGGUACCAACGUGUUCUGUAGGCAUUGACAGAGAAAUUGAUGAACUGGAAAUACAUUAUGGAGCGAGUUGGGUGGGUCUAAUCUUGUCAUAUUGAGUUAAGAUUCUGCUGGCGUUGGAUUAAAAAAAAAAAAAAGGAUUUGCUCACCGUAGAGGGUUGGAGCGUGGGUGCAGAUAAGAACUUCAAUGACGCUAAAAAUGGGUUUAUAAAUUGAAGGAGAUGGAGCCGAGAUUUAAUGGAACUAGAUGUGAGGCGCAAAAGAGGGAGUUAUAUGUGUGUGGUGGCAGUGGCGGAUAGUGGUGAUUUUAGUUCUUAAGAGAGCUGUUAGAUGUAGGUUUGUGUGGGAACGUUUUUUGAAG
Molecule: unclassified non-coding RNA, 492 nt
Filed under: Hevea brasiliensis (rubber tree)
Lineage: Eukaryota; Viridiplantae; Streptophyta; Magnoliopsida; Malpighiales; Euphorbiaceae
Source: RNAcentral